AUUGUAUUUCAUCUUACAAUAGCCUAAUUAGAUAUGCAUUUAGGGUAACUUUUUUGUAUAAAGCUCUAAUUAUAAGUGU
Coccidioides immitis RMSCC 2394 is the source of this 79-nucleotide non-coding RNA. The record is from Rfam. Lineage: Eukaryota; Fungi; Ascomycota; Eurotiomycetes; Onygenales; Onygenaceae.